This 432-nucleotide ribosomal RNA is filed under the name uncultured bacterium. RNAcentral describes it as "partial 16S ribosomal RNA". It matches the Rfam family "Bacterial small subunit ribosomal RNA", at positions 338 to 795 of the family's 1533-position model. The record is from RNAcentral.
CCUACGGGAGGCAGCAGUGAGGAAUAUUGGACAAUGGGGGCAACCAUGAUCCAGCAACGCCAUGUGUGUGAAGAAGGGCUUAGGGUUGUAAAGCACUUUAGUGAAGCUUGCGUUACCCAAAGAAUAAGCACCGGCUAACUCCGUGCCAGCAGCCGCGGUAAUACGGGGGGUGCAAGCGUUAAUCGGAAUUACUGGGCGUAAAGGGUCUCUAGGUGGUUUGUUAAGUCACAUGUGAAAGCCUAGGGCUCAACCUUGGAACUGCAUUUGAUACUGGUAAACUAGAGUACGGUAGAGGAAUGGGGAAUUACUGGUGUAGCGGUGAAAUGCGUAGAGAUCAGAAGGAACACCAAUGGCGAAGGCAACAUUCUAGACCGAACUGACACUGAGGGACGAAAGCGUGGGGAUCAAACAGGAUUAGAUACCCUUGUAGUC